UACAAAAACAUAACCUUUAGCCACCAACAAAUAUUAAAGGCAACGCCUGCCCAGUGAAUAAUUAAACGGCCGCGGUACCCUAACCGUGCAAAGGUAGCGUAAUCACUUGUCUAUUAAUUGUAGACCAGCAUGAAAGGCAAAAUGAGGGUCCAACUGUCUCUUAUAGUAAAUCAAUUAAACUGAUCCCCUAGUAAAAAAGCUAGGAUAACCCCAUAAGACCAGAAGACCCUGUGAAGCUUAAACUAACCUACUAAACCAAGUAGUAGCUACUUUCGGUUGGGGCGACCUUGGAAUAAAAAAGAACUUCCAAACACAAUGACACUAAACCAUUACACUUUAGGCUCACAAGCCUACCCCCAGACCCAGCACAGCUGAAAAUUGAACCAAGUUACUCCAGGGAUAACAGCGCCAUCCUCUUCAAGAGCCCAUAUCAAAAAGAGGGUUUACGACCUCGAUGUUGGAUCAGGACAUCCUAAUGGUGCAACCGCUAUUAAGGGUUCGUUUGUUCAACGAUUAAUAGUCCYACGUGAUCUGAG
RNAcentral lists this ribosomal RNA (536 nucleotides) under Taeniophallus nicagus. Its description in RNAcentral is "partial large subunit ribosomal RNA". Lineage: Eukaryota; Metazoa; Chordata; Lepidosauria; Squamata; Dipsadidae. The record is from RNAcentral.